UUGACUUCAGUGAUGAUGCGUAACACGUUUACACACGGUGGUAAAAUCUAUAUUAUGAGGGGGGCAUGCAAUCAUUUUACAGUAACACACUGGUAGUAAUUGUGGAGUUUUGUGAAAUGUUCCCCUCGGCCAAUAAAUGUGACUGGAAUGUUUUGGGCAACCUCAGCGUGGGCUGUUUCUAAUUAAAACAGUGACUAAAGCACAGAGACCUUCUGCUCUCAAAGGCUUCUGAAAGCUAAAACAGAAGUGGGCCUAUCAAUUCCCAAUCUGUAUGUUCCAAGCUACAUGUUAAUUGUUUUUAAAGCUCCAAUGCAGCUGUUUUUUUUUCUCUAUGAAAUCAUUUCUAGUUAACAAUUAGUGUGUGUUUUUUGACUGUUUUAAAUUGAAAAAGUAAUUUCUCAUGCAAGAAUUUUGUUAGGACUGUCUGGGAGUGGUCUGCGUGCGGGACCUAAUUGGAAGAGCCUAAUGAGGGAGAGACGAUUUGUCAAAACAGAUGCCUAUGUGCGAGCCAUGACAGAGAAAAGAGUGGUCAUCACUGAGUUUGGAACAGCAGCCUACCCAGACCCCUGCAAAAAUAUAUUCUCACGGUUUUUCACCUACUUCAAAGGGAUUGAGGUGACAGAUAAUUGCUUAGUGAAUGUGUACCCUGUUGGUGAGGAUUUCUAUGCCUGCACAGAAACCAACUACAUCACCAAAGUGGACCCAGACACACUGGAGACUCUGAAAAAGGUGGACCUGUGUGAUUACCUCUCGGUCAAUGGGGUGACGGCUCAUCCACACAUUGAAAGUGAUGGAACGGUGUACAACCUUGGGAACUGUUUUGGGAAGAACAUGUCAUUGGCCUACAACAUUGUAAAAAUUCCUCCCACGCAGAAAGACAAGUCCGAUCCCAUUGCAAAGUCCAAGGUUCUUGUGCAGAUACCCAGCAGUGAGAGAUUCAAGCCCUCGUAUGUUCAUAGCUUUGGAAUGACAGAAAACUACUUUGUCUUUGUUGAGACUCCAAUAAAGAUCAACCUUCUAAAAUUCUUGACUGCUUGGAGCAUCUGGGGCACAAAUUACAUGGAUUGCUUUGAGUCAAACGAAACCAUGGGUACAUGGUUCCAUCUGGCUAUGAAGGACCCAGCUAAAUACAUAGAGCAUAAAUUCAGGACCUCUGCCUUCAAUCUCUUCCAUCACAUCAACAGCUAUGAGGACGAUGGCUUCAUCGUUGUUGACCUGUGCACUUGGAAAGGUCAUGAGUUUGUCUACAACUACCUAUAUCUGGCCAACCUGCGGGAGAACUGGGAGGAAGUGAAGAAAGCUGCUAUGAGGGCACCUCAACCGGAGGUCCGGCGAUACGUUCUGCCCAUAGACGUCCACAGAGAGAAACAGGGGAAGAAUCUGAUAUCCCUUCCGUACACCACAGCCACUGCAGUGAUGCGCAGUGAUGGAACCAUCUGGCUGGAGCCUGAGGUUCUGUUUUCUGGACCACGACAAGCAUUUGAGUUCCCUCAGAUCAACUACAGUAAGUUCUCUGGGAAGAACUACAGCUAUGCCUAUGGACUGGGUCUGAACCACUUCAUCCCUGACAGGAUUUGCAAACUGAACGUGAAGACCAAGGAGACGUGGGUGUGGCAGGAGCCAGACUCGUACCCCUCAGAACCCAUCUUUGUGCAGACCCCAGACUCUGUGGAGGAAGAUGACGGGGUGUUGUUGAGCAUCGUGGUGAACCCUGGAGCAGACCAGAGGCCAGGGUACCUCCUCAUCCUCAAUGCCAGAGAUCUGACAGAGAUUGCACGGGCUGAGGUGGAGGUUAUCAUCCCUGUCACCUUCCAUGGAAUGUACAAGCCUUAGGACCACUUUCUCAACACAUCUACAGAACAAUCAUAAUACUAAAACUGUUGGAUUAUACUUUACACAAGACAUCUAGUUACAGUGCAUUCGGAAAUUAUUCAGACAUCUUCCCUUUUUCCACAUUUUUUUUUACGUUACAGCCUUAUUCUAAAAUUGAUAAAAAUAGUUCAGCAAUCUACACACAAUACCCCAUAAUGACCAAGUGUCAUUAUAUUUGAGACAUUAUUGCAAAUGUAUUUAUCAAAAUACAAAUACCUUAUUUACAUAAAUAUUUAGACAUUUUGCUAUGAGAUUUGAAAUUGAGCUCCGGUGCAUCCUGUUUCCAUUUAUCAUCCUUGAGAUGUUUCU
Molecule: non-coding RNA, 2181 nt
Organism: Oncorhynchus mykiss (rainbow trout)
Lineage: Eukaryota; Metazoa; Chordata; Actinopteri; Salmoniformes; Salmonidae
Source: RefSeq, a predicted model, not a curated record